AUUGAACGCUGGCGGCAGGCCUAACACAUGCAAGUCGAGCGAGCGGCGGACGGGUGAGUAAUGUCUGGGAAACUGCCUGUUGGAGGGGGAUAAAUAUUGGAAACGGUAGCUAAUACCGCACACCAUCAGAUGUGUCCCGAUGGGAUUAGCUAGUAGGUGGGGUAACGGCUCACCUAGGCGACGAUCCCGAGCUGGUCUGAGAGGAUGACCAGCCACACUGGAACUGAGACACGGUCCAGACGCCUACGGGAGGCAGAAGUGGGGAAUAUUGCACAAUGGGCGCAAGCCUGAUGCAGCCAUGCCGCGUGUGUGAAGAAGGCCUUCGGGUUGUAAAGCACUUUCGGUAGCGAGGCGUUAACUACAGAAGAAGCACCGGCUAACUCCGUGCCAGCCGCCGCGGUAAUAC
Molecule: ribosomal RNA, 406 nt
Filed under: uncultured bacterium
Lineage: Bacteria
Description: partial 16S ribosomal RNA
Rfam family: Bacterial small subunit ribosomal RNA
Source: RNAcentral